Pogona vitticeps (central bearded dragon) is the source of this 766-nucleotide non-coding RNA. The record is from RefSeq and is a predicted model, not a curated record. Lineage: Eukaryota; Metazoa; Chordata; Lepidosauria; Squamata; Agamidae.
GGGGGAGGGGGGCGGCGUGUAUUUUCAGGGCUUGCUCGUCUCCCUGCCAGCGGUGGUUGCAGAGCCGGCUGUGUUGGCGGCGGUUGCUUCUUUUCCUCCACUUCGGCUCCCUUUGGGAGGCGCGAUGCCCCGCCGGCCGGACCCUCAGCAAAAAGCCCACGGCCCCGAAACCAUCGGGAGGAAAGGAGACAAGUCGUCGGAGUGCGCGGCGGGAGAGUUUUGCGCCGAGAGGCUGGGUUCCGAGACCUAAACAGCGAAUUAUCCCGCCAGGAGGAGGAGGAGGAGAGAGAAAGGAAGCGCAAGCCAACCAGCUCCGAAUCAUCCGGAUCAGAUCUGCGGACGCCUUGCUUCGAAUUCCCUCCUUUCCCUGCAUUUCUCAGAAACUCUGAAGUUGAGAUUUUAUGAGGGGGAUGAGCAAGCCACUGAGAUCCAUUUACUUGGCUUUUCCAGUGAGUUUGCAAGAUUGGGGUGAGAAGGGGCGCUUCUUCUCUUCCUCCUGCCUGCCUCGCUGGGCUUUGAUGUGGAGUCCAGACAUGCUGUGAGAGAGGUUCAGCUGCAUGAUAAGGACUGCUCCAAAUUUUCAUGACGGGGAGUCAAAGGGAGGUCUUGGCUUCUCAACAUCUGGGACUGGGAAGACAUGUGUUCAUCCACAGAAUGCCUGAGAGCAAGAAUAGUUCUACAGUGGGAACCCAUAAUCCAUCCACUCAUUUCUCUCUCCAGGGCCUGCACCAAUAUUAAUAAUAAUUAUGUGGUCAAGUAAAUUCCA